RNAcentral lists this ribosomal RNA (447 nucleotides) under uncultured bacterium. RNAcentral describes it as "bacterial SSU rRNA". It matches the Rfam family "Bacterial small subunit ribosomal RNA", at positions 355 to 825 of the family's 1533-position model. The record is from RNAcentral.
UCGGGAAUUUUGGGCAAUGGGCGAAAGCCUGACGCAGCAACGCCGCGUGAGUGAUGAAGGCCUUCGGUAUGUAAACUUCGAAAGAAUAGGAAGAAUAAAUGACGGUACUAUUUAUAAGGUCCGGCUAACUACGUGCCAGCAGCCGCGGUAAUACGUAGGGACCAAGCGUUGUUCGGAUUUACUGGGCGUAAAGGGCGCGUAGGCGGCAUGACAAGUCACUUGUGAAAUCUCUGGGCUUAACCCAGAACGGCCAAGUGAUACUGUCGCGCUAGAGUGCAGAAGGGGCAAUCGGAAUUCUUGGUGUAGCGGUGAAAUGCGUAGAUAUCAAGAGGAACACCUGAGGUGAAGACGGGUUGCUGGGCUGACACUGACGCUGAGGCGCGAAAGCCAGGGGAGCAAACGGGAUUAGAUACCCCCGUAGUCCCUGAGCGGGCUGGCAAGGCGCAU